Molecule: long non-coding RNA, 235 nt
Organism: Corvus hawaiiensis (hawaiian crow)
Lineage: Eukaryota; Metazoa; Chordata; Aves; Passeriformes; Corvidae
Exons: 3
Source: RefSeq, a predicted model, not a curated record
GAGUUUUAAAUCCCAAAUUUUAGGGGAUCAAACCCCAAUUUUGGAUUUUAAAUCCCCAGUUUUAGGGGAUCAAACCCCAAUUUUGGGUGGCUCAAACCCCAGUUUUGGAGGGGUUAAAUCCCAAUUUCGGAGGAGUUUUAAAUCCCCAAUUUUAGGGGAUCAAACCCCAAUUCUGGAGAGUUUUAAAUCCCCAAUUAUAGGGGAUCAAACCCCCAAUUUUGGGGGGGCUCAAACC